ACGAAGGGUGCAAGCGUUACUCGGAAUUACUGGGCGUAAAGCGUGCGUAGGUGGUUCGUUAAGUCUGAUGUGAAAGCCCUGGGCUCAACCUGGGAAUGGCAUUGGAAACUGGCGACCUAGAGUGCGGUAGAGGGUAGUGGAAUUCCCGGUGUAGCAGUGAAAUGCGUAGAGAUCGGGAGGAAGACCGGUGGCGAAGGCGGUCUGCUGGGCAGUUUCUGACACUGAUGCGCGACAGCGUGGGGAGCAAACAGGA
This 253-nucleotide ribosomal RNA is filed under the name uncultured prokaryote. Its description in RNAcentral is "partial 16S ribosomal RNA". It matches the Rfam family "Bacterial small subunit ribosomal RNA", at positions 525 to 777 of the family's 1533-position model. The record is from RNAcentral.